UGUCUUAAAAUUUGGAGCUUAAUGUUAGCAUUUCCCCUGCCUUAGGUCCUCAGCUCCUCCCAUUAUCCCCCAGGUCCACCCAUAACUAAACUCCCUGCCCUAGAACUAUAAUGAGCCACUCUUACUCACCAUUAAGUCCUACCUAUUUCCCCUUUAGCCCC
Molecule: long non-coding RNA, 161 nt
Organism: Perognathus longimembris pacificus (Pacific pocket mouse)
Lineage: Eukaryota; Metazoa; Chordata; Mammalia; Rodentia; Heteromyidae
Exons: 3
Source: RefSeq, a predicted model, not a curated record